CCUACGGGCGGCAGCAGUGGGGAAUAUUGGACAAUGGGCGAAAGCCUGAUCCAGCCAUGCCGCGUGUGUGAAGAAGGCCUUCGGGUUGUAAAGCACUUUCAGUGGGGAAGAAAGCCUUGGGGCUAAUACCCUCGAGGAAGGACAUCACCCACAGAAGAAGCACCGGCUAACUCCGUGCCAGCAGCCGCGGUAAUACGGAGGGUGCGAGCGUUAAUCGGAAUUACUGGGCGUAAAGCGCGCGUAGGCGGUCUGAUAAGCCGGUUGUGAAAGCCCCGGGCUCAACCUGGGAACGGCAUCCGGAACUGGCAGGCUAGAGUGCAGGAGAGGAAGGUAGAAUUCCCGGUGUAGCGGUGAAAUGCGUAGAGAUCGGGAGGAAUACCAGCGGCGAAGGCGGCCUUCUGGACUGACACUGACGCUGAGGUGCGAAAGCGUGGGUAGCAAACAGGAUUAGAUACCCCAGUAGUC
Molecule: ribosomal RNA, 465 nt
Filed under: Vreelandella stevensii
Lineage: Bacteria; Pseudomonadati; Pseudomonadota; Gammaproteobacteria; Oceanospirillales; Halomonadaceae
Description: partial 16S ribosomal RNA
Rfam family: Bacterial small subunit ribosomal RNA
Source: RNAcentral